This 72-nucleotide small nucleolar RNA is filed under the name Drosophila virilis. Its description in RNAcentral is "snoRNA:GJ25411". Lineage: Eukaryota; Metazoa; Arthropoda; Insecta; Diptera; Drosophilidae. The record is from RNAcentral.
UUCAAUGAUGUUUCCAAUUUAUAAACUUUCACAAUGAUAUUUGAAUACAACAUGAUAGUUACAUUAAUCUGA